RNAcentral lists this transfer RNA (75 nucleotides) under Candidatus Bathyarchaeota archaeon. Its description in RNAcentral is "tRNA-Ala". It matches the Rfam family "tRNA". From Rfam's summary of the family: Transfer RNA (tRNA) molecules are approximately 80 nucleotides in length. The record is from RNAcentral. RNAcentral also lists the same sequence under 1 other name. Lineage: Archaea; Thermoproteati; Candidatus Bathyarchaeota.
GGGCCGGUGGCGCAGCUUGGAAUGCGCGUCGGAUUUGCAAUCCGAAGGUCGCGGGUUCGAGUCCCGCCCGGUCCA